This 1244-nucleotide ribosomal RNA is filed under the name metagenome. RNAcentral describes it as "bacterial LSU rRNA". It matches the Rfam family "Bacterial large subunit ribosomal RNA", at positions 1564 to 2817 of the family's 2925-position model. The record is from RNAcentral.
UGAAUACGAGAUGCUACGGCGUCGAAGCAGUCUAUGUCAUACUUCCAAGAAAAGCUUGCACUGUCAUAAACAAAUAAUGCCUGUACCAUAACCGACACAGGUGGGUAGGUAGAGUAUACUAAGGGGCGCGAGAUAACUCUCUCUAAGGAACUCGGCAAAAUGACUCCGUAACUUCGGGAGAAGGAGUGCCUUAUUUAUAAGGUUGCAAUAACAAGACCCAAGCAACUGUUUAUCAAAAACACAGGUCUCCGCUAAGUAGUAAGACGAUGUAUGGGGGCUGACGCCUGCCCAGUGCCAGAAGGUUAAAGAAGUUGGUUAGCAUUAGCGAAGCUGAUGACUGAAGCCCUGGUGAACGGCGGCCGUAACAAUAACGGUCCUAAGGUAGCGAAAUUCCUUGUCGGGUGAGUUCCGACCCGCACGAAAGGCGUAAUGAUUUGGGUACUGUCUCAGAGAGGGACUCGGUGAAAUAGACUUGUCUGUGAAGAUGCGGACUACCUGCACCUGGACAGAAAGACCCUAUGAAGCUUUACUGUAACCUGAAAUUGAAAUUGGACUUUAUUUGCGCAGUAUAGGUGGGAGGCUUUGAAGAUAUUCUUGCGGGAAUGUUGGAGCCAUCAGUGAGAUACCACUCUUGUAAUGUUAGAUUUCUAACUUUGUAUCAUUAUCUGGUCAAAGAACAGUUUCAGGCGGGCAGUUUGACUGGGGCGGUCGCCUCCUAAACGGUAACGGAGGCGCACAAAGGUUUCCUCUGAACGGGUAGAAAUCGUAUCUAGAGUGUAAAGGCAUAAGGAAGCUUGACUGUGAGACCUACAAGUCGAGCAGGGACGAAAGUCGGUCUUAGUGAUCUGACGGUGCUGAGUGGAAAGGCCGUCACUCAACGGAUAAAAGUUACUCUAAGGAUAACAGGCUGAUCUCCCCCAAGAGUUCACAUCGACGGGGAGGUUUGGCACCUCGAUGUCGGCUCAUCGCAUCCUGGGGCGGUAGUACGUCCCAAGGGUUGGGCUGUUCGCCCAUGAAAGCGGUACGCGAGCUGGGUUCAGAACGUCGUGAGACAGUUCGGUCCAUAUCCGGUGUAGGCGUUAGAAUAUUGAGAGGAGCCUUCUCUAGUACGAGAGGACCGAGAAGGACACACCUCUGGUGUACCAGUUAUCGUGCCAACGGUAAACGCUGGGUAGCUAUGUGUGGAGCGGAUAACCGCUGAAAGCAUCUAAGUGGGAAGCCCACCUCAAGAUAAGUAUUCUCAC